GAUGAACGUUGGCGGCGUGCCUAAUACAUGCAAGUCGAACGAAGAGUUCCGAGUAGCAAUACCUGGAAUACUCUUAGUGGCGAACGGGUGAGUAACGCGUUGGUGACCUGCCCCAAAGAGAGGAAUAACAGUUCGAAAGGACUGCUAAUACCUCAUGUGAUCAUAUGGUUUAGAAACAUAUGAUGAAAGGAGCUUGCUCCGCUUUGGGAGGGGCCUGCGUCCCAUCAGCUAGUUGGUAGGGUAAUGGCCUACCAAGGCUAAGACGGGUAGGGGACCUGAGAGGGUGGCCCCCCACAAUGGAACUGAAACACGGUCCAUACACCUACGGGUGGCAGCAGUAGGGAAUAUUGGUAAUCUGCGAAAGCGGGAACCAGCAACGCCGCGUGUGCGAAGAAGGCCUUCGGGUUGUAAAGCACUUUUCGGGAGGAAGAGGAAGGACUGUACUCCCGGAAUAAGUCUCGGCUAACUACGUGCCAGCAGCCGCGGUAACACGUAGGAGGCUAACGUUAUCCGGAUUUAUUGGGCGUAAAGCGCGUGCAGGCGGUAUGAUAAGUUGGGCGUGAAAGCUCCCGGCUCAACUGGGAGAGGUCGUUCAAUACUGUCAAACUUGAGGAUGGUAGAGGGAGGUGGAAUUCCGGGUGUAGUGGUGAAAUGCGCAGAUAUCCGGAGGAACACCAGUGGCGAAGGCGGCCUCCUGGACCAUUCCUGACGCUCAGACGCGAAAGCUAGGGUAGCAAACG
Molecule: ribosomal RNA, 740 nt
Filed under: uncultured Anaerolineaceae bacterium
Lineage: Bacteria; Bacillati; Chloroflexota; Anaerolineae; Anaerolineales; Anaerolineaceae
Description: bacterial SSU rRNA
Rfam family: Bacterial small subunit ribosomal RNA
Source: RNAcentral